Molecule: ribosomal RNA, 305 nt
Filed under: uncultured bacterium
Lineage: Bacteria
Description: bacterial SSU rRNA
Rfam family: Bacterial small subunit ribosomal RNA
Source: RNAcentral
UUUACCUGGGGGGCAGCAGUGAGGAAUAUUGGCCAAUGGACGCAAGUCUGAACCAGCCAUGCCGCGUGCAGGAAGACGGCUCUAUGAGUUGUAAACUGCUUUUGUACGAGGGUAAAUGCAGGUACGUGUAUCUGUUUGAAAGUAUCGUACGAAUAAGGAUCGGCUAACUCUGUGCCAGCAGCCGCGGUAAUACGGAGGAUCCAAGCGUUAUCCGGAUUUAUUGGGUUUAAAGGGUGCGUAGGCGGUUUUAUAAGUUAGAGGUGAAAUCUCGGGGCUCAACUCCGAAAUUGCCUCUAAUACUGUAG